GCCGGGGUGGCGGAACUGGUAGACGCGCCAGACUCAAAAUCUGGUAUGGGAAACCAUGUGAGAGUUCGAGUCUCUCUCCCGGCACCA
RNAcentral lists this transfer RNA (87 nucleotides) under Gammaproteobacteria bacterium. Its description in RNAcentral is "tRNA-Leu". It matches the Rfam family "tRNA". From Rfam's summary of the family: Transfer RNA (tRNA) molecules are approximately 80 nucleotides in length. Their secondary structure includes four short double-helical elements and three loops (D, anti-codon, and T loops). The record is from RNAcentral. RNAcentral also lists the same sequence under 1 other name. Lineage: Bacteria; Pseudomonadati; Pseudomonadota; Gammaproteobacteria.